Molecule: long non-coding RNA, 646 nt
Organism: Rhopalosiphum padi (bird cherry-oat aphid)
Lineage: Eukaryota; Metazoa; Arthropoda; Insecta; Hemiptera; Aphididae
Exons: 2
Source: RefSeq, a predicted model, not a curated record
AACACGACGACGUUAUAAAGCUACUAUCAGAAUGCGGUACGGGUUUAGUACGAAAUUGCACCACUUCAAUUGAGCGCUAGUAGUAAAUAGGGUAAAUUAUUUAUCGACGGUACGCAUUACACAUAAUACUCCGCGUCACUGGCCAGGAGACCGUCAAAAUUCAAAACGCGUCGUAUUACUAUAUUGUUUGUAUCAGUGUAUUACCUAUCGCCAGUCGUACGGUAACGAACUAACGACUGUAUAAAAUGUUGAGGCCGAUGAGGGAAAUUCCAUUAUUUGGAUGCACUACGGUGUCGUGGCACGGAGAGUAGGUACCUAUCCCCUUAAGGCCUUAAGCAUGUCUAGCUCCUGUAGCUGUACUGUGCCGUGAUAUAAUUAAAAUGUAAAUUUUAUCAUGAGCCGGAGUGCCGUGCACGAAUAAACAACAGCUGUAUAACAGCUCAUAAUACUAUAAUAAUCGUACUGCAAUCCAGGAAUCCUGCAAGCAAUUGCACUAAUUGAAUAAAAAUACUACUGAUAUUAAGCUUAUGAGUACGGGCUAAGAUUUUAUAAUUUGUGUUUAGCCCAAUAAUUGUUUUCUCUCUCAGAUCUACUCAAAGUACCUAUAUAAUAAAACAAAAAAAUAGAUAAAUAAACUGCAUUCAUG